This 479-nucleotide ribosomal RNA is filed under the name uncultured bacterium. RNAcentral's name for it is "partial 16S ribosomal RNA". It matches the Rfam family "Bacterial small subunit ribosomal RNA", at positions 28 to 507 of the family's 1533-position model. The record is from RNAcentral.
GAUGAACGCUGGCGGCGUGCUUAACACAUGCAAGUCGAACGAAGCACUUUAACCUGAUUCUUCGGAUGGAGGGUUUUGUGACUGAGUGGCGGACGGGUGAGUAACCCGUGGGUAACCUGCCUCAUACAGGAGGAUAACCGUUAGAAAUGACUGCUACUACCGCAUAAGACCACAGAGCCGCAUGGCUCGGGGGGGAAAACUCCGGUGGUAUGAGAUGGACGCGCGUCUGAUUAGGUAGUUGGUGGGGUAACGGCCUACCAAGCCAACGAACAGUAGCCGAGCUGAGAGCGUGACCGGCUACAUCGGGACUGAGACACGGACCAAACUCCUACGGGAGGCAGCAGUGGGGAAUAUUGCACAAGGGGGCAAACCCUGAUGCAGCGACGCCGGGGGAGCGAAGAAGUAGUUCGGUAUGUAAAGCUCUAUCAGCAGGGAAGAAAAUGACGGUACCUGACUAAGAAGCACCGGCUAAAUACGUG